UCUACUCAAUCCUUAGUCCUUACUUUCCUCCCCACACAAAAUCUAACAGGCGAAAAAUCCUCUUCGUGUCUGGCCAUGGCCGUCUGUAACUGUUUCCUCCAAGCGCCACCGCUCUCUCGCUUCUUAUCACCGGUUUUCUCCCGCCGCGCUACGAAUCUCUUCCCCGGCUGUGGUCAGCUCAAAUCCACCGUCAUGUUCUCCUCCUCCUCCGCCGCGAACAGAACCGGACCGUUGACAUCUCCGGUCAGAGCUGAAGUAAAGCGCGUCUCGCGCAAGGAAUCUGAAAUAGCUUCCGCUUCUGAUCUUCAAUUUGAGACGCCGUUGAAGAUUGUUGAGUAUCCGGAUCCUAUCUUACGCGCCAAGAACAAGAGGAUUGGCGUUUUUGACGAGAAUUUGAAGAACUUGGCCGAUGCUAUGUUCGAUGUUAUGUACAAAACGGAUGGCAUCGGGCUCUCGGCACCACAAGUGGGGCUCAAUGUUCAACUCAUGGUGUUUAAUCCAGCUGGGGAGUCUGGUGAAGGAGAAGAGAUUGUUCUUGUGAAUCCGAAAAUCAAUAAAUAUUCCGAUAAAUUAGUGCCAUUCAACGAAGGAUGCCUUUCCUUCCCUGGGAUCUAUGCUGAUGUAGUUCGACCACAAUCUGUCAAGAUUGACGCAAGGGACAUUACUGGGGCUAGAUUUUCGAUCAGUCUAUCACGUUUACCUGCACGAAUAUUUCAGCACGAAUACGACCACUUAGAGGGAGUUCUCUUCUUCGACAGAAUGACGGAUGACGUUCUUGACACCAUUCGUGAAGAGCUAGAGGCCCUGGAAAAGAAGUACGAAGAAAAAACUGGAUUGCCAAGCCCUGAAAAAGUACAAGCACGACAAAAAAGGAAAGCAGGAGUUGGUUUUGGCAAACGUUGAUGAGACAUUCUCGCUCAAUUCUCGUUUCAUCUUCGUUUAGGGUAUGGGGAAUUAACAAUGGUAUGGGGAGCAGACAAUGACAAGAAACACGUUUGCCUUUUUAAAUCCAGAGGAGGACAUCACAUUGCGUGAUGCAAAUCUCCCAAACAUAUCAAGCAUCAUUGGAAGACUGACUUGUAGACUUUUCUGUUUUCAAACACUGAAUUGGAGGAAGAGUUUCAGUUUUCAAUUCACCGUGUGCUUCCCAGCAGAAUGGCUCACUUGAACUUGCUUUAUCUGUGGCCGGCUUAAGCUCUAUGGUCGACAGUGAGAUCCCUGUGCAUGGCAAGCUAUCACUGCAGGCAAAGCGUACAGGUUCCCUUGUGUAGGUACCUUUUAUGUUUAUGUAGUUUAUGUUUGAUACAGCGACUGCUGAAGUUUCAUUGUGGCAUCCUCCACCAUCGCAAUAAUAUUGAUCUAUUACUAUCGGAUUAGCUACUUCGCUGACUUGGAUAUUUGAAAACAUAACUUGUUUUACAGACCCUGACCCUCCCUACCAUUAAACAUAAUAGAAAGUUGUCAGAAUCUUUGAGCGGUUACUUUGAUUUGUCUUUGCAUUUGUUUUGUUAUGCAAACCUAUGUGUAGAAGAAUUUACCUGCCAGGAUUUUAUUCUUACACCAUUCGUAGUUUCAUGCAUCGUGACAUCACGGACAGUGAUGUUUGAAACACACGCCUUUGUGUUCUCCUUUCCUAGUCCUCCAAUGCUAAUUCCAUGGCCAGGCCCACAGUCUACAUCGUGUAUGUAGAUAUUUGAGCAUCCUGUUUGAAUUGAUAUACAGUCAUCUCCUGUAAAAUGCACAAAAUUGUUAUUUCUUCAUCUUGGCAAGUUUGUUUAGGAAGUAUAGUCUGGAAAUGUUCGAUGAUCUGACUAGUGGUAUCUAAUUAAGAAUGAGUUGACUUGUAAUAGAUCUAAUUUAAAGAAAAUGGGCUAUGUUUGAAGUCUGUGGUUACCACAAGCCAGCGUGCUGCGGUAAAUAACGGCGUCUUGAGAGUUUUGCAGGUGGAUCCCAUCUGUAUUUGGGGAAUCUCCAGGAGAUGAAGUUGUGAAGUCAGACACUUGAAUGUUUACACAGUUAUCAAACUUGAGGUGGGUCUGAGGGCUGUUCUGUAUGGUUAUUCCAUUAACCAUUACACCGUUACUCCCGUAGAAUCUCAACGCCUACAUACCAGCCAAGGAAGGAGACAGGUCCAACAAGGAACGUAGAACCGGAUGGAACUAAUAAUGUCGAUGCUGCCACUUUACAAGCUUCAUUCCAAGCGUCUUCAAAAGCCUGCAAUAUUAAAAGUCAAGGACAUUGAACGUUCCGGAACUUCCCCCUUCAGCGAUAGACCUGCGGUUUCCUCUCCAGUAUACACUAUGUCUAGCGUCACAAGAGAUUAAAAGGAGAAGUUUCAGGGCAAGACAUUUCAAGGUACUGAGUUGGUCUUGGUAAGCUCUUCGGUUAACACAAAAACCAAAAUCUAUUUAUCAGGCAAAGGGGUUUGAGUGAAGAAAAGCUGCCAUACAAUCACAGGCAUGUCACGUAGACCUCAUCAUAAGAUAAUCUUUUUUAUUUUGAGUUCCUUAAAUUAAGCAGCGUAAUUUAGGUUAAAUCUGUGGUGUUCAUUGAAUCUUCUCAAAUGCUAUAUAUAAAAUCUAUUUUAUCAUUUUUUCUUCGUA
Brassica napus (rape) is the source of this 2603-nucleotide RNA transcript. It is a transcript of the gene named peptide deformylase 1B, chloroplastic/mitochondrial, with no coding region annotated. The record is from RefSeq and is a predicted model, not a curated record. NCBI's taxonomy places the organism in Eukaryota, Viridiplantae, Streptophyta, Magnoliopsida, Brassicales, Brassicaceae. The transcript is spliced from 11 exons.